CCCUUAGAUGUUCUGGGCUGCACGCGCGCUACACUGAAGCUAUCAACACGUUUUCCCUCCCUGAGAAGGGCGGGUAACCUUUUGAAUCAGCUUCGUGGUAGGGAUCGGGGCUUGCAAUUGUUCCCCGUGAACCAGGAAUUCCUAGUAGACGCGAGUCAUAAGCUCGCAUCGAUUAAGUCCCUGCCCUUUGUACACACCGCCCGUCGCUACUACCGAUUGAACGUUUUAGUGAGGCAUUUGGACCGACGCAUCUCAGUUUAACCGCUGGUUUGUGUUGGAAAGACUUCUAAACUUGAGCGUUUAGAGGAAGUAAAAGUCGUAACA
This 324-nucleotide ribosomal RNA is filed under the name uncultured eukaryote. Its description in RNAcentral is "partial 18S ribosomal RNA". It matches the Rfam family "Eukaryotic small subunit ribosomal RNA", at positions 1470 to 1796 of the family's 1831-position model. The record is from RNAcentral.